Molecule: transfer RNA, 67 nt
Filed under: Marmota monax (woodchuck)
Lineage: Eukaryota; Metazoa; Chordata; Mammalia; Rodentia; Sciuridae
Description: tRNA.Ala
Source: RNAcentral
GGAUUGUGGCUCAGUGGUAGAGCACUCACUUAGCACAGGUGGGACCUGGAUUCGAUCCUCAGCACCA